Molecule: long non-coding RNA, 2836 nt
Organism: Vidua macroura (Pin-tailed whydah)
Lineage: Eukaryota; Metazoa; Chordata; Aves; Passeriformes; Viduidae
Exons: 2
Source: RefSeq, a predicted model, not a curated record
CACUCUCGUAUCAGAGCAUCAAGGAACUCUGCAGAGCACAGCGUGAAUUCACCCGGAAAAGUCAAUUUUUUAGGAGCCUUUUAAAAGCAACAUUUGCAUCAAACACGCUGGUCCCUGGAGAUUUAAAACGGUUUUUCACUUGCUUGCUCCCUCCAUCUGAAUGCAAAUUGUGGGAUCACAUGUGGAAGAGAUUAGUAGGGGAUCUCCUUCCACAGCUUCUGUAGAACCCUGAAUGCUCCACCGAUACAGAUGAAAACUUUGAUACUAGAAAUAGUCUCCAGCAAUGCCAACGAAGCCUGCAGAAAAGUCAUCCUGUCCUUUCACUUCAACUCCAGCUCCCAAUCUAGGACCAACUUAUUGAGGAGUGCACCAAGAAAGCUAUGAUUACUGUGGAAGACACCCCGAGGAAACCAGUUGUGCGGGAACAGAUAGCAGCUCCACCAGCUGUUACCCAAGGGAAUCAACCACCUAGGAGGAGAUACUUCCACUGACAUCAAGAAGGACAUUUUAUAAGCCAAUGCCCCUUCAAAGGAAGGCGCCACCAGAUGGGGGAGGGGCAGGGGAGGAGAAAGCUUCCCAGCCCCAAAAAAACUAAGUGUGGAGUGUGGGUCUGCCCCACACAUUGAUAAAAACGCGGCAGACCACAGAGGGGUUGCUAGUGAUAUUGCUAGCAGCUAUGUUACCAUGAACAAUAAUAGACUUCCUUACUGGCUCAAACUUAAGGACCCUAUGUUUUUUUCCCAAUCAGGACUGGCAUGUUGUCGCUGCAGAACCCGGACUCAUUCCUCAUAUCCAGCAGGCGGAGGACCACAGGCACAUUAAAUCACUAAACUGCAAGUACCUUGUUGUCAGGGACACCAAGCCCACUCCUCCAGGGAUCCUGGGCGAUCAGUCUCAUGGCGUGCUGUGUCCACCCCCACCUCUUCCUGCGAGAAGGCCAGGUCAUCAUGCAGGCCAUUCCAGUGCCUUACAGCCUUUAUGAUGACCUGGACCUUUCUGUUUAUUUCACCAAAGUGCUGGGAGAGGACAAGCCCUCUCAUAUCGUGUGACCUUAAGAGCAGGGGGCAUUCCAUCCAGCUGCAGGGGAUGAUGGACACGGGGGCAGAAGUUACAGUCAUUCCUCCACACAAAUGUCCGUCACAGUGGGAGCUGAAAAUGUGUGCAGCAAGGUUCUGGGCACUGGGGCUUCUCAACUGGCUAAAAGAUCCAGAAGCAUUGUACAAAUUGAGGCACUGAAUGGGCAAUUGGCCUCUGUACGCCCAUUUGUGUUGAAUUCCAAGUUCACUCUGUGGGGGAGAGACACCAUGUCUCAAUGGGGGGCCAAAUUGGAACUUCCAGGCCCUUAGAAUUUUUAAUGGUGGUCACUGAGGAGCGCCCUACUCAGAAGCUAAAUUGGCUGACAGAUACACCGGUCUGGGUAGAAUAGUGGCUGCUAAAUAAACAGAAAUUAAAUGUGCUCACUCAAAUAGUGGAGGAGUUAGCAGAAGGUGAUAUCAUCGAAACUAACAGCCCCUGGAAUUCCCCAGUGUUUUGUCAUCAAAAAGAAGGGGAAGGACGAGUGGUGUCUCCUUCAUGAUUUGAGAAAAAUAAAUAAUCUCAUCAAAGACAUGGGGUCCCUCCAACCAGGCAUGCCAUCCGCCUCAAUGCUCCCCCAAAAUUGGUCAUUGGCAGUAAUAGAUAUCAAAGACCUGCUUUUUUCAAAUUCCCCUCCACCCAGUUGACACUCUGCACUUUGCCUUCUCUGUGCCCUCCAUCAACAGAGAAGCCCCCAUGAAGUGCUACCACUGGAAAGUAUUGCCUAAAGGCCUCAAAUGCUCUCCUUCCAUCUGCCAGUGGUAUGUCGCCAGAGUUCUGUCCCCGGUGGCGCCAGAGCAGGAAAUUGUGUCAUUUAUCAUUACAUGGAUGCUGUGCUUGUGAGUGCGCCUGAUGACAAUGUGCUUGCAGCAGCGCUUGAGGACACUAUCACUGCCUUGUUGGCAGCUGGAUUUGAGUUGCAAAAGGACAAAGUACAGAAACUGCCGCCUUGGAAGUAUCUGGGCCUUGGAGAUCGCAAACAGGACCACUACACCAUAGAGAGCCCUCAUCAAUGAUAAUCCGAAGACUUUACGAGACCUCCAACUCCUAUUUCUGACAUGGUGCCGGAUUCACCUGCUAGGCCCCGACAACAUGUUAAGAGUGGGCUGUUCUCAGAAGUGAUCCAACACACAGCUAGGCAUAGGCUCUAUGGCACUAUGAUGUAACAAGGUGCAGGCAGAAGCAGUGACAAGGGAGAGGUCUUUCAUAUUGUUUCUACGGAGUGUCAUUUCCAAGAAGAGUCCUGAGACAAAAGACUCCAAAUCUUGGUGUACAGGGACUUUUAUAUAGAGGAGGUUCUAUUGACCAAUAGGGAGAAGACUGGGGAGGAGCACAAGGUGGGGUUUACAAUACUUAACCCCAUGAGGAGGCUCAGGGGGAGGGGAAGAGUCUGAACAAACCAAUGGGGCUUUGAAGAACAGGGGAUUUCCCAAAGCAAGGGGCUGGCACCAGGCGGGACUCACAACUGGGUAGGAGAGACAGGGUACAUUCUGUAUCAAAGGGCAGGUCUAGAGCAAGAUGGACAACUAGGUGGAAGGAUACAAUUUGGACUGAAUUAACAGUACAGGAGGGAAUGGAACAAACCAUUAGGGAUAAAAACACACUGCAACAUAUAUCCACUUUUGAAAGCAACCUGUUUGCCUUAGAAUCUCAGUCUGAAUUUUGUUGUGCUUUUUCUAUCACAGUUUUCACAGCAUUUCCCCGCAACAGAUACCUGAAAGGUGUUUUUCAAUAGAGCACUUUGAAUAAUACUUAAAACUAA